Aegilops tauschii subsp. strangulata is the source of this 3503-nucleotide non-coding RNA. The record is from RefSeq and is a predicted model, not a curated record. Lineage: Eukaryota; Viridiplantae; Streptophyta; Magnoliopsida; Poales; Poaceae.
CCACGCUCCCCAACCACGGCGACUGCACGCCUCCCGCUCGCCAUUGCCCCCACCGCAGAUCUCGCCGCGCUGACCUCGCGGCAUGCCUCCACGGCGAUGAAGAUCGGAGCCCGCGGCCGAGGCCGCUCCCCCUCCCCCUCCCCCUUCCCCCACUCGUUUCCCUCCCCAAGUUCAGGAAGCUUUUGUGGAGUUGGUGAGACUGGUCUCACCGCUCCCGCAGGCGAUAUCCAUGGCGACGGGCGAUCGGAGUUGGGUGGAACCGGCGACAAGGAUUCACGACGCUACUGCGGCGUGGAUCCGGCGAGUCCAGGAUUGGAAGGCGGCAGAUCAGGUGGUGGCAGUGGCGAGAGAUCCAGAUACGCGAGCCGCGGCGAGCAGAUAUGCAGAGACUUGCCGUCUACGAGCAGAGGGAGAACAGAGGAUCCUGGCGAAGCGGAUCUACGACAAGGCUAUGGUGGUGGAGAGACAAAGGAUGCCUGCACUCCCCGUUGACCGAGUUCGUGAAGUGGGCGAGGGCAGAGGCGAAAUCCGAAGAUCCCCGCAGGGCGCUGAGAUGGGAGGGCAUGCUUGGAGUGAUUCCAUCGGGUGCGCCGCUGCAAAACAUCUCGUGCUGGCCGCCGUCGUCGAUUCGGGAUUGAGCUCGGCUGGAGUUCAAGUCGCCACGCCCCCAGGCUCACCCAUGGCGUACAGAAGAGGCAGUGAUGCCAGGAGUAGGCGUGCUUCGCCGUCGCCGAUGUCGUUCAGUUCGCCGGUGAGGAGAGCCGUGGGUCGAAGAGUCACUGCCAGGAGGGCCCUGCAGGUCAGUGAGCAGCUAGCGGCGGACCCCACUUGCCCCGUCCUCAUACCUUUAGCGGGAGUGGUGGUUGCGACCCUUCAAAAGGCGUCUCCCCCCUCAGAUCCGCACCAGGAGGGCCCGGGUCGGGGGCAAGCUAGGGUUCGUCCUAUACAUAGCAGGUUCAGCAAAUCCAAUCUGGUGUGGGUUCGAAAGGACAAAUUCAUUUCUGGAGAAUUCACUGAAGCGGAUUGCCACCCAGUCGGUAAUUCAGAUCGUUUGACAGCUCCAAAAUUCUUCUCCUUCUCUCAAGAUUACUGGGCAAGGAAAUCGGGCAAGAUCCCGUUCGCUUCCAUUGUCAAGAUGGCUGGAGGAGGAAGAGAUGCUAGCAACCGUGGAGGGAGAUAUGGCUCGGGGAGGGACCGUAAUGGUCGCCCCCUGCUCCCACUCCGUCGGGGCAGGAUAGGACCGCUCCGCCGCCGCUGGUUCCUCAGGCGCCUCAAGUUGCACCGCCGUAGAUGUCGAUCUACGCCAAGCCCCCAUUGUUUUCCAGUUGGUUAUGCUCAAUCUAUGAUGCAGGCAGGAGGGCGGAUGUAUGGAUAUCAAGGGGGCUAGAAUCCUCAGAUGCAGCAGUUGCAGCAGAUGCCACAAUGGGCGAAUCAGCAGCAGUUCCCCUUCCAGUAUCUGCCUCCUACUCAGAUUUUUCCCCAACAAUUCAGCCCUCAGAUGCAGCAGGUCCAGUUUGGAGGAAGUGGAUCAUCUACUGGAGGAAGUGUGCAGAACAUCCAGCCGGAGUCUAGCAAGAAUAAGAAAAAGAAGAACCAAAAGAUCGAGCAGGCAGCUGCUACUACUGCUAGUGAUGAAUCCUCCUCCAUUAAUGUUGAUCCUAAGUUCAUUGGGGCAAUUUGCUACAAUUGUGGUCUCCCAGGUCACUUUGUGGGCACGUGCCCCAUCCCAAAAGUGUGUUUCAUCUGCAAGACCCCUGGCCACCACAUGGAUACAUGUCCUACUUGGUACAAACCCUACCCUGCUGCCAUGUACUGGGGGAGGCUAAUAAUGGUCUAGGAUUUUUUUUCAUAUUGAAACUGGUGGCAAGGAGGACUGCGAGUGGCUAAACUUUGGAAAUGUUGGCCUAGUCUUAAUUGAAAAAGGAGAGAUCACUGAGAAAGAGCUGGGGCUAUGUUUCUCUGAUAGUGGAACACUAACUGGCCCUGGCAGAUCAGAAGAUAUGAUGAGAAAAAAUUCAUUGUCAGGUUUCCCCCCACCAAGAAGAUCAAAGAUCUGGUGGAAUAUCCUUCCAUUAACCUGAAGAAAGAAGGAGUGACUAUAUCUUUCAGUGAUUGGAAUGGAGAAAUGCCAUCCUAUGACACUCUGGAGGAAACUUGGAUUGUGAUUGAAGGACUGCCUCCCAAAUGGAUAUCCUGGAGCAUUAUCUCUCAAAUAUCUACUAUGCUGGGGGUCCUUGUUAAUGUUGAUUGGCACACUAUCUUCAGGAGCUUCUAUGAGAAGGUGAGGAUCCAGGUAGCUGUCAGAGACCCUGCUAAGAUUCCCAGAGACAGGAUGGUGGAGAUACACCAUGAACUAUAUUUGCUGCAGUUUACCGUGGAGUCUGAGGCUGUGAGUGGUCAUGAGUCAGAUAAUCCUCCAGGCCCUGAUGAUAACAAUCCCUCUUAGAACAAGCAUACUGAAGAAGAAUUUGAUUCCAGUGGUGAUGACUUACUUGGAGAAGAUAUGGAUACUGGAAAUAGCAACAACAAUGCCAAAGACAAGCAUCAAACCACUGGAUCCAAUGGAGCCAGGACUAUGCAGAAGUGCUCUACACCUGCUCCCAGAGCUAAUGAAGAAAAUGUAGUCUCCUCCAAAUUCCUGGGUGCACCUAUGACCAAAAGCUACCUUGAGGCAGUGAAGAAGAGACACAAUGAUACGAUGGGCACCCCCUCCUGGAUCAAUGUGAAGCUGCUGCUGACAAGCCUGUUUCUCAGAAGUGCACUAGUACUCAGCAGAAGUGGGGCCCUGUGGUGGCCUCCAGAGUUAGCACCAGGAACAAGAGAGAUAACAGACCAGCUCUUCAAAAAGCUCAGGAGUUAAAGCAAAUUAAAAACCUGGAAAAACCUACUAUAAGAAAAGGGGGCUGGAAGAAAUCUGGAGGAAAGAAGAAAUCAAGGCCAUGCAGAGAUCUAGAGAGAGAGACAUACUGGAAGGGGACUUAAAUUCUAGCUACUUUAAAGCUGUAGCUAAUCAAAAGAGGAGAAAGAAGCAGAUCAUGGCGCUGGAAGGAAAUGAAGGUGUUGUGGAGGAAAACUGCUACUAUGCUAGGCAGUUGGAUGGUUCGAUGCUCUGGCCCUGUCAAAGAAAGGGUGAUACACUUGGUGAGAAAGCUGGAGCAGGAAGCGCCCCCCUCCUGAUGUGGCCAGACCCUGGCUAGGCCUUCUGCAGUGCUCGGAGGUGCUGCGCGAACCGUGACACUGACUGAGAUCUGGGUGGUCCUCUGAGCAGCUCCCCCAGUUUCUCUUUCUCUGCCGGUUGUUAGUAUCUUUGAGUGUAGCUCCUAAAACCUUUAGUAGUUUAGUAUUUGGCGCUCUGCCUGUUGAGGCUGAGACAACUCUUUUGCUGGGGCAGCGUGUGUGCUGUUUUAUCUCCCCCGCGUGCUUGUAAACAGGAUGAUGGUUAUCUGUGGUUUCAUUUGGUAAUACAAGUGGAGCCGGGGCCGAGAGCCCUUUUCCUCUAAAAA